Molecule: ribosomal RNA, 253 nt
Filed under: uncultured bacterium
Lineage: Bacteria
Description: partial 16S ribosomal RNA
Rfam family: Bacterial small subunit ribosomal RNA
Source: RNAcentral
UACGUAGGGUGCAAGCGUUGUCCGGAAUUAUUGGGCGUAAAGAGUUCGUAGGCGGUUUGUCGCGUCCGUUGUGAAAGCUUGGGGCUCAACCCCAAGUCUGCAGUGGAUACGGGCAGGCUAGAGUCAGGUAGGGGAGAACGGAAUUCCUGGUGUAGCGGUGAAAUGCGCAGAUAUCAGGAAGAACACCCGUGGCGAAAGCGGCUCUCUGGAACGGUACUGACGCUGAGACGCGAAAGCGUGGGGAGCGAACAGG